Molecule: long non-coding RNA, 1247 nt
Organism: Ailuropoda melanoleuca (giant panda)
Lineage: Eukaryota; Metazoa; Chordata; Mammalia; Carnivora; Ursidae
Exons: 4
Source: RefSeq, a predicted model, not a curated record
GGUAAACACCUUGCAGGCGCCUUGGGACAAUUUUUUGUAACGGAAGUGGAGAGACAGACACGGAGGCGGCGGCGGCUCAGGUCCUGCCGCCUGACCCAAGGUCCCUCGAAGCGCGUCCACACGUCUUCGCCACCAUACACCCACCGGCGAGCUCUCCAGCCCGCGCCCCCGCUUCCAACGGCCCGCCAGGGUGCCCACAGCUCGGGGCCUCCAGGCGCGCCCCACCGGAGAACAGUGAAAAUCUCUCUUCAAAUAGAAUCUUCAUUGAAAGCCCAAAAUGGAAAACGAGUAAGAGCAGAGCUGCUUUGGGAGUUACCUGUGGUCAACCAAGGUCCUUCUGACCUAUCACCAAGUCAGUAGCACUCUGAUGCUGCAUCACUGUGCCUACAUUGUUCACCUCACUUCAUCUUGUCAAGUAGGCAUUUUAUCAUCUGACAUCAUCAUGAGAAGACGAAGUGAGUGAAAGUUUUUACUUGAAAGGGAAAUAAAUGAGAAUUGCAGUAGGCAAAACGUGAGCAAGGAUCAAGAACUCAUGAGCAGCAGGAUACUGGAGCAAUAGAAACCCACGAGAGCUCCAGAGAGGUCAGUUCCUCAAGAAGUGCAGCAUGGAGUCGUAUGACUUAGCUAUUCUUCUCUCACAUAAAUUUGUACACGAAUGUUCACAGUGGAAUUAUUCAUUAUCGUGAAAAAGUGGAAAAAGCCCAAACAUCCAUCAACUAAUUAAUGAAUAAACAGGUUGUGUGGAUCCAUACAAUGGAAUAUUAUCAGCAGUAAAGUGCAAUGAAGUCCUGACAUAUUUAUACAUACUACGUGACACAUGCCACAACAUGAAAGAAUUUCAAGAACAUUGUGCUGAUAGGAGCCAGUUAUAAAAAACAACAUAUUUUAUUAUCCCAUUUAUAUGAUAUAUCCAGUAGAGGUAAAUCUAUAUGUGCAGUGUAAAACUCCUUGGGCCAGGAGUUGGGAUAGGGCUGGGUAGAAAUGGGGCAUGACAACUUAAGAGUACAGAGUUACAGAGUUACAUUUCGUGGUGAUAAAAAUAUUCUAAAAUUGAUUGUGGUAACGAGUUCAGAAUUCUAGGAGUAUCCGAAAACCCAUCAAAAUGUACACUAAAAAUAGUUGAACUAUUUGUAAAUUAUAUCUCAGUAAAACAUAAAAAAAUAUAAUUGGCAGGUGAAAUACAGUAUGUCCAAUUAAAUUUGAAUUUGAUAUAAACAGAGAAUGUUAAGCAUAAAUAUAUCCCAAAU